UGGCUCAGUUGGUAGAGCAUGGUGUUUGCAACGCCAGGGUUGUGGGUUCGAUUCCAAU
Non-coding RNA from Salmo salar (Atlantic salmon), 58 nucleotides. NCBI's taxonomy places the organism in Eukaryota, Metazoa, Chordata, Actinopteri, Salmoniformes, Salmonidae. The record is from Rfam.